GUCUGCUCAAGCUUGGUUGACAUAUCUUAAUUUCCCAGAGGAACAUGCACAUUCUGAAAAGGCUUACCAAGUAAAGGUCAGCCUUGCUCAUUCUCGAGGCAUUUUCUCUUCAACUGGUGUUCAUCAUGGAGAUUCUUCUCAUAUUGAAUUUUCAGUGUCUGUACCACCUCAUCGUUCAGAACAUGUUGAUUUAAAUAAUGAAGGGAAAAUCUCUUGGAGUGAUGAAAGUUUCUGCACUCAUGACACACAGUUUCUUGAGUCAGCUCUGAUUAACUUGUUCCAUCUGGAAAGAACCAAGAUAGAUGAAACAGUGGUGGACUAUCAGUGGAAUAUUACGACCAUCA
RNAcentral lists this unclassified non-coding RNA (344 nucleotides) under Hevea brasiliensis (rubber tree). Lineage: Eukaryota; Viridiplantae; Streptophyta; Magnoliopsida; Malpighiales; Euphorbiaceae. The record is from RNAcentral.